GGCUCAUGACCUUGGGGCCAUAUUUGCCCCUGAAAUCUUCCUCUCUGGCUCUUUCCAGCUCUCUGCUUCCUGGCCACCAUGACAUGGCAGCUUUCCUCCAUCACUGCCUUCCGCCAUGAUGCUUUUGCCUCCCCACGUGCCUGAAAGCAGUGGACUGUGGACUGAAGCCUCUGAAACUGUGAGCCAAAAUAAAUCUUUCCACCUUUAAGAUGCUUUUGUCAGAUGUUUUGUCACAGUGAGGAAGAACUGACUAAUACACCCAACAUGAAAACUCACCCUCCAUCCUCAGAGGACCACUGGAUUCUCCCACCUCUUUUUGGGAAAGUCCUCCAUGAAACCCAGGCUGCUCUCAUUCCCCUCUGCCAAUCCAUACUGAGAGAUGCUGAGGGGCAGUGUCAUGGUCGCUAUUCAUUUAGUAAACUUCUGUUCUGAACUGACUCCUGGUGAUGCUGCACGUCUCGGGGUGCAGCAUGGCAUUUCAAUGAGCAUGCACGAGGCGUCGUGCUCGGAUCUGAGUGAGCGGUGACCUCAUGGCCUCGGACAGACGUCGCGUGACCGAAACCCUGUCGCCCAGCUCUUCUCAAAUGCAGAACCAGUCUCGGGCAGCCUCUGUCCUCUUCAACUUGGCCACGUGCAUGUUCAAACCACUGCUCCCAUCGUGAAGAUCAUCCCAACCAGGACGUCGGGAAAAGGACAGGGAAGGGCAGCUCUUCGUCCUUACAGGAGCUCCGUGCCAUGGCCCUGCUUCGGCCACCAGUGUCCCCUGGCCAGCCCCCCCCCCCCCUCCAGCUUGCCUCUUCUCCAGGACCCGCUUUCCGAGCUUGGGGAGGCAUUCAUUCUCCAGAAUUGCCGAGGGGGACGUGGUGAAGCCUCGCUUGCUGCCGAGUGGACCUGGCUGGGAGAUGACCACGGUGGCUGCCAGCCCCUGACAUGAACCUGCCUGCGGCAGCGCUGGACCUUUGCUUCUCGGCAGUUUGUGGCGCGGCCCGGUGCGCUACCCAGAGUUCCCACUAGAUGUCGCUGUUGCCACGUUGGAAACCUCGUACACGGACGCGUGAACCCCCGCCCCACCGCGGUUUGAUUUCAGUGGAUUUGGAACAUAAAUAUGUCCAUUUUUAAGCCACAGGGCAGAGUUUUCUCUAUAAAUUCUUGGGAUCUUUAUUUCUAUCACUUUUGUUGUUUUCUUUGCCUUGAUUGGGCAUACGCAACUCUCCGUGCAUGGUAAGUGUGUAGCUCCGGUGCAGGAUUUGAAUGGGCUUGAAAAGGGCGGAGUUCC
Molecule: long non-coding RNA, 1276 nt
Filed under: Cavia porcellus (domestic guinea pig)
Lineage: Eukaryota; Metazoa; Chordata; Mammalia; Rodentia; Caviidae
Description: lncRNA (ENSCPOG00000039223.1)
Source: RNAcentral